This is a long non-coding RNA of Toxotes jaculatrix (banded archerfish), 785 nucleotides long. RefSeq lists it as uncharacterized. The transcript has 4 exons. Lineage: Eukaryota; Metazoa; Chordata; Actinopteri; Toxotidae. The record is from RefSeq and is a predicted model, not a curated record.
UCAAGUGUCCUGAAGACAUGAUGGAAAAGAGGACAGCUGGACAGACUGCUGAUUGCGUGACCGUGAGCGCGCUUCCAGUACUGCUUCAGGUCCGACUUGUACUCUAACACCUGUAGAGAGAAACGGCAGGAAACACCAGGGAGAGUGAAGAGAUUUGAUGGAGAGUUCGUAGGAACACAAGAAGAACGCUGCCUCAACCAGAUCUACAGGAGACACAGAGGGACAAACUUCACUGAUGCUGAAGUUUAACACUGAGAUCGUUCUUCUUCCCUCAGCGUUCUACAGGAAGUUACUACAAAAGAUGUCCACCAAAGCAGUGAGGACACCGCUGCUCGGUGAGGACACCGCGGCUCGGUGAGGACACCGCGGCUCGCAGCGCCGUGCGGUUGUUCUCCACACCCUCCACGUAACCACGGCAACGCUCGAAGAAUCGCAUCAGCUCGUCAUCCACCUCGUGGCUGUACUCCACCUCUGCAGAGAGACGUCAGACACGUCCAUGAACUCGAGACGCAUUGACUUCUGCUGCCGUGUGGAGUUUCCUACAUUUCCCAUAAUGCCGAGAAACAAAGCAAACACACGGAACCACAGACGUAACCAGACAGACAGGAGGACGUCAGCCACUCCCCGGACAGACCAGUGAGCACAGCGAGCAGGUGAGAUCACCUGCCCAGCUUCAGCCACGCUCUGGCCCAGCCGUCUGGUCCUAAAGAUCCUGUCCUCGUUAAAGCGGCUCAGGUGUUUGCACCUGCACCUGUCUGACCUAUCCCACAGCUCUCACCGUGACG